Molecule: RNA transcript, 2619 nt
Organism: Danio aesculapii
Lineage: Eukaryota; Metazoa; Chordata; Actinopteri; Cypriniformes; Danionidae
Gene name: IQ calmodulin-binding motif-containing protein 1-like
Exons: 15
Source: RefSeq, a predicted model, not a curated record
UUCUUGUUCGUUGUCGGGUUUGUCGCUUUCCCUCAGCGUAAAAUAAUCGUGUAAAUUACAUAUAAAUGACUGUAAAAGUUACAUAUUCACCCAAGAUUGACAUUCAACAUGAAUAUUUUUAUUUGAAUCUGGAGUGCAAUGGGUCCGUCAGGAGACGAAAUAAACCCAGAGCUCAGGGAUUUGGUGGAAGACACCCGAGAAAAAUCUGAAGACAAGUUUAACGACGUUCUUUCAAAAUUAAAAGAACUUCUAGACAAGAAGUCUUUAGGAGAUCAGAGGGAUCUGGAGGUGUGUAAACAGAGACUUUACACUCAUGGUGUGCUGCUGUACUGCUCCUCUUCUCUGAGAUUCAGUCCAGCCAGGAUUCAAGGAGGCUAUGCAGCCCUCGCACAGAUGGCAGACCUCCUCAGCACAUGUUGCGUUGGUCUGGCUGCUUUCAGAGACAUCGAGGUGUUCAGUCAUGAAUUUCUGCCAUCAGUGGUCGAAAGUCUUCUUUUUCUUGCAGAGCGUCUCAUGAACAGAGCUCUGAGGGAUAAGACACCUAGCGAGAUGAUUCGUUUGUUUAGAAAAGUCUUUGAUUCCAUUGGCUGGCUUCUCAGGGCUGACGGGCAUCUCAUUCAUCAUGUGCUAAGAUGUAAACAUUACGAGAGUGUUCAGAUCUGUGAGGACGAUGACGUCUCUGUUGUUACGGUCAACUUGUGGAACGAUAUCUUCAGGACAAACAGUGGCGUCUUGGCUGAAAUGGGAAACAGGGCACUGACCGACAUCAUGGAUGAUAUUGUGUAUAAAAUGUCCAGUAGCUCAAACCCUGUGAUUGGCAGAGCAGCAGUAAAGACUCUUGUUCUGAUUUUAGACCACAGCAGCUCUACACAUCAGCUCAUUCAGAGGCGAUACAGAGGUUUGUCUGAUUUGGCCGAGAAAGACUGGCGUGGUAAAGGCUUUGACUCAGCAUUGGAUCAGCUUAUUGACCACCUGCAAUCAGACGUCCUAUGGAGAGAACCGAAGGAGUCGUCUGAGGAGCGUGUGAGGGCAGCGAGUGUGAUUCAGGCAGCCUGGAGAGCUCAUCAGACCAGAAGAAGACUGAAGAAACUCCCCAGAGCCGUCAGCACUAUACAACGCAGCUUCAGGGAAAAGCGGAGACAACAGCAGGAACACACUGAGAGACGACGUGCAGAAGAGGAAUUACGCCAUCAAGUGUGUUUGAGAAGACAGAGAGCCAUGAGACUGUUCCGCCAACACCAGCUGCAUCUGAUGGAGAUUCUACCAGCGGGUCAGGUGCAGAGAUACCUGGGGGAGCUGGAGAACAAGGCUGCGCUGGUGAUUCAGAGAGUGUGGAGAGGACACAGAGAGAGACACCACUUCCAGCAGCACAAACACAUCCUCAGACGACACAGAGCUGCUGUCACUCUGCAGAGAGCCGUUCUGCUUUUUUUAAAACGUCGUAAAGCAAAGAGGAAUAUUCUCACGCCACUGAAAGCACCCAAAGGACUGACAGACAGCAGAAGAACGGAGCUCAGAAAGCAGAUUCAGGAGCACAUCACUCUACAUCCCUCAUCUGUGCAGUCAGCAGAGGGCAGUGCAGAGCUCCAUCAGAGAGCACAGAGUCUCCUCCACCAUCACCUGAUCAACAGAGCGUCUGAUCGGGCACAGCAGCAGCACAGACAGGCUCUACUCGCACAGAUCAACACAGACAUAGAGCUUUUGCUAAAUGCACCAUCUCUGAGGGAUGUCAGAGAGGAGGAUGUGAGUCUGUUCCUGAGCCGCUCAUGUCCGGUAGCCACACGUGCCCGUCAAUCCCAUAAUGCCUUGCUACAGAGCAUGCGUCUACCUUGGUGGAGGACCCUGGGAGAUGAUUUAUCCAACCCAGAAGAGCCCAGGAAAGACUACGACAUGGACAUUGAGUCACUGUAUCUCGGUGGAAGCUGAAAGAUGAUCACAGGCUUGAUGAAGACACUCUUUAUUUGCAAAAGAUGUUUUAUAUCGGAGUACUUGAAAGAACGGUACAUUUGAACAGGUUUUAUGAAAAUAAUACAUCUGAAGUUUACCACGACAAGACUUUAAAACUGACACUCAAUAUUCACGAUGAUGAAGAACUGCAGUGUCAGAAUUCAUUCAUUUUCCUUCGGCGAAGUCUCUAUUUCAGCAGUUGCCACAGCGGAAUGAACCACCAACUAUUCCAGCAUAUGUUUUACACAGCGGACGCCUUUCCAGCCGCAACUCAAAACAAAUGCUCUCAUCUGGAGUUUUCUACAGCAAACAAAAGAACUUUUGACAUCGAAUGAUUUUCCAGAGGUAAAUAUAGUGAAUAUGUGACAAUGUUCACAAGAUGUGGAAACACUGAGUGAGUAAUUAGUUGUUUAUUAAUGUUUAUUUCAUCUGACUUCUAGUAAGAAUAAGGAAUGAUCACCUUCAUCAGAAUUUCCAGAAAAUAUGGACAGAUUUUGAAAGACAAAAUUUAGUUUCUUAUCAUAAGUAACAGAACACAAUCAUUAUUGGACAUUAUGUGCGGUACGUUAUGUCUGUUUUUUUUUUUCUUUUCAUUUUUAAUAUGUGGGUUAGGGUGGCCUCACAGCAAGAAGGUCGCUGAUUCGAGUCCCGGCUGAGCCAGGUGUCAUUUCU